This 17223-nucleotide long non-coding RNA is filed under the name Manihot esculenta (cassava). RNAcentral describes it as "long non-coding RNA (MESC_LNC003846)". The record is from RNAcentral. Lineage: Eukaryota; Viridiplantae; Streptophyta; Magnoliopsida; Malpighiales; Euphorbiaceae.
GUCUCUCAUGGUUUCUACUUUCUAAGCAUGUUCUGUUCGUUUUUGUUGUUUAUGGCUGGCUUUGAUCAGUUUCGUCUUUAUGCUUUCUUGUUUGAUUGUGUCAGAUCUUCUUGUUUGAUUGGGAUAUAGAUUGUCCCUGUACUUCUUGCUUGUUGUUUAUGUCUGGUUUUCUUCAAUUUCACCCAUGUGCUUUCUUGUUUGAUUGUCCCGUAUCUUUUCGGAGUUUUUCACUUGCCAACAAUUCUUAUCUGCAUCAUAUUUAUAUAAUUUUAUAUUACAAUUUUUCCUUUAUUGUGAUUGGUUAAAAACAUAUAUUAAUUAGUUAAUAUUUAAAAUUUUAAUUUCAUUCGUAGGUUAAUUAGAUUAAUUUCCUAUUUAAUUUUAAAUUAAUUAUCUAUCUAAUGUUAGAAUUUAUAUAAGCCUAAAACUCUUCUAUUUAUAUUUAAAAAUUAAAAAACUUUAUAAUUUAGUCUCUAAAUAUUACUAUUAUUAACAAGUCAGUUUUUAUAUUUUCAGAAAUCUAUUAAAACGCCAUUAUCUUUUCUUUUCAUCAGCGAAAUAGUUCUUCCGUUUAUUUUUACCGUUAAAAUUAUAACAAAAGAUCAAAUUACCCUCCCUCUUCUCAUUUUCCUCCUCCUCCUUCUCCUUCUCUUUCUUUGAUUCUUUUUCUUCUUCUUCUUCGAUUUUUCUUUUUCUUUUUCUUCUUUAAAAAGGAGGCAAUUCUUCUUGCGAUUCUUCUUCUUCUUCUUCAUUAUUAACGUCUUCUUCUCCUUCUUCUUUCUCUUCUUUUUUUUUUCUUCUUUUUCUUUAUCUUCUUCUUCUUUUUUGAAAAGGUGGAGAAGGAGAAACUAUUUCGUUGAUGAAGAGAAACGAUAAGGACGUUUUAAUAGAUCUGAGAAAAGAUAAAGAAGUUUUAAUAGAUCUAAAAAAAAUAAGGACGUUUUAAUAGAUUUCUGAAAAUGUAGGGACUGACUUAUUAAUAAUGGUAAUACUUAGAGACUAAAUAAUAGGUUUUAUUUGAGGGUAAAAUUGAAUUUUAAAAAUUUUUUCUUUCAUCCCUCAUCUAUUUUUAAUGAAAAAAGAACAUAAUGACUAUUUCAUUAACGGAGAAAAAAAAUAAGAACGUUUUAAUAUAUUUCUGAAAAUAUAGAGAUUGACUUAGUAAUAAUGGUAAUAUCCAAAUACUAAAUAGUAAAUCUACCUAAAAUGCGUAAAAAUCAAUUAAAAAAUGUAAUAAUCAAUAUAUAUUAGGUUAUAAUUGAUGACAUGAUAUAGUUAUUACUUAAAAUUUAUUUUUCUUUCUAUCUACUGUAAAAGUUACAAAUUUUUUUAUGACAAAAAGAAAGCAAUAAUUAUUUAUGAUUUUUUAAUUUAAUAAAAAAAUUAUUAAUUCUUUUACUAUGAAAAAAUUCAAACCUUUCGAUUUUAAAAAAUAUAUUAUAUUCCUGAAAUUUUAAAAAUUUACUAAUUAAUUUAUCUGUUAAUUUUAUUCAUUAAACACUUUAUUAUUUAAUUUUUAUGAUUUUAAAAAAAAUUAUUAAUUAAUUCUUUAAAUUUAUAAAAAAUUUAUAAAUUAGUUCAUUUGUAUUAGAAGUAUUUUAUUUUUUUAAUAUUUAAUAAUUAAAAUUAACACAGAAAAUAAUUGAUAAAUUUUUAAGAUGUUAAGGAUAUUUUAUUAUAUUUUUUUAUAAUAGAGAAAUUAAUUAAUAAAUUUUUACAUGAUAUUUUAUUAUAUUUUUUUUAAAUAAAAAAAUUAAUUAAUAAAUUUUUACAUUUAACAUGAAAACUAAAACGUAAAUUUAAAAAAAAAAUUAAAGUUUAAAAUCGCGAUAAGUUUAUUAUUUAUUUAAUUGACUUAAUUUAAUUUAAUUUUAAAUAUUUUAUUUUAGAAAAAAAAUCUUACCACCACCAAAGGAUAUAUAUAAUCCGAUCAAUAAUAUAUAAAUUUUAAUAUUUUAUAAUUUUUAAUUAAUUGAUUGUAGAAAAUAGUUAUAUUUAUAAUAGUUGAUGUAAUUAAGAUUUUUUUUUUUUUAAAAAAAAAAUUAAUGCUUACAAGCAUUCAAAUAUAUACACUUGAUUAAUAAAAAAAUAAAAAAAUGAUAUAACUUAAUACUCAUCUAAAAUAAUUUAUAUAUUGAUGAUUUCUCAUUGAACCAUGUGAGAUGAUAUGUCUGUAACUGGAAUGAUCAGAUAUAUAGACUUGGAUAACUCGUAACGCUCACGUUCAACCAUUCUGAGCCUUAAGGCUCAUCUCAUGUUAGGCAAAGUCUAACUUCCUUUUUCAUUAUCAUUGAUGUUUCUUUUGUUUCAAUUGCCAGAAUCCUGUAAAAAUAUAAUUUCUUAUCCACUAAUCAAUACAUUUCAAAUUUUUAGGAAGGCAAUCAACUAAUCUUCCCUUCUUAUAGUAUAAAGGCAGCAGGAGUGCAGAGUUUAAGAUACAUAAGUCUAACUGAGUCAAGUUAUUUGUACUUCUUAUUUUAUUCAUCUACUUAAGUAUUUUUUGACUUGAACGUCGGAAUGGUUGUCCUAAAAGCACCAACCACCUCAUAUUUUCUUCUUCGGAGAUUAUCAACUCACUCGUGCAAUAGGUCGAUUCGGUUCCGAACCAAACCGAACCGAUAAAACCGAAAAUCAAAUUGUUAAAAUUUUAAAAAUCGAUUAUGAAGAUAUGAAGAUAUAAUCGAACCAAAUCAAACCAAUAAAAAUCAGUUCGGUUCAAAUCGAAAUUUGUAAUUUUUUUAAUUUUUUAUUUCUAAUUUCAACAAAAUAAUUUAAUAAACAUUCUACAUAAAUUUAUCAAUAAAUAUUGUCUAAAUAUACAAUGAUAAUACUUAAAAAGUCCAUAUACGUCCAUAUAAAAUUUAAAAAUACAUAUAAAAUCAAAAUUCCACAUAAUAAAUUCGCUAUAACAUAUUAAAUCCACAACAGUAAAUUCACAAUAAAAUAUUAUUCCACAAAUAACUUUUAAUAAUAUAUUAAAUCCACAACAGCCUUCAACAACAUAUAUGAAUUUGAUCCCACAAAAUGUUGAAUUGAAACAUAUUUAAAAAACUGAAAUCUGCACAAAAAAAAUAUUUAACAAUCACCUUGAUUCCUUAUCAUCAAAUAAAUUUAAAUUCUCAAUAGUUAAUCUUACAUCUAUGAGGUAGGAGUAGGGCAUGAUCCACCUAAACCAUGGGUGAUUCCAACAGACGGUAAUUCUGCAAAUAAUAAUAAGCUAAAAAAAUUAAUAUAUAUAUAUAUAUAUAUAAAUAUUGAAAUUAACACAAAUAUGAAAAUGUAUAUAACAUACCUUCUUCAAACUUUUCAAGUUCCUCUAGAUCUUCCUCAACAUUUAUUUGAACAUUUGAUGGACGAAUUCAAUCUUGCACACAUAUUAGGCCCUCAACAAUUUUAGGAGUCAGGGAACUCCUAAAGGAAUCUAGCACUCUUCCACCAGUACUGAAGACACUCUCUGAGGCAAUUGUAGAAACUAGAAUUGCUAAUAUAUCUCUAGCCAUUUUUCUUAAAAUAGAAACCCUUUCAGAAUUUAUUUUCCACCAUUUCAUGACAUCAAAAUCCUCCUUUUCCUCUUGAAUUGCCUCACUUAGAUACACUUCUAACUCUGUUUUUGAAUCAAACCCACCAGAUUCUUCCAACUUCUGUUUCUUGUAGUGAUGCUUUAAAAAGAAUUUAGGCUUAGGGUUUAUUGAACCGGUAGUAGUGCAACUCCCACUUAAUUGUUGUGAACUAUUAUCAUUGAAUUGCUCAACAUCAGGUUGAUACAUUUUUUUGUAUUCAUUAAACAAAUCAAACAAACAACUCUUGACCUUAUUGAAUAGCUCUACACCUUUCUCUUUACCAUACAUUUGGGAGAAAGAAUACUCCAUAAACUCAAAUUUAUCACGAGAGUCAAGAACAACAGCAAAAUAGAUAAUUUUAUUCAUUUUAUCCAUAUCUCCCUAAUACUUAUCAAAUUUAACCCUCAUUCUUCCCCCCAUAGAUUUCAUAUCAAGAUCAUUGCUAUUAAUUCAUUGGUUUAAAAUAAAGGCUAAGUCAUUGACCUCGCUGAAAAAUAGGUUUGAUGUGACAUACCUAGAGCCUGAGAUAUGCAAAGUGAGCUCAUAAAAAUGAGCCAACAUAUCUGCCAUCUUCCUAACUUGUGUCCAAUCAUAAUAGUCAAGUAUGCCAUUCUCUCUCAUAUCAAUCUUAAACAUGGGAUCUUAUGACUCGUACCUCUCAAAUGCCUUUUCAUAUUUUUGAGCUGUAUUCAACAUCAGGUACGUUGAAUUCCAUUUAGUUGGCACAUCUAAACAUAAUGAAGAUUUGCUUUUAAUUUUUUCAUGAAGCAUACACUCCUUAAAUCUCUUCAACCUAGCUGGAGAACUCCUUAUAUAUCUUACUGCAUCUCGUACUUUAUCACUGAAUCAUUCACAUCUUUUAAGCCAUCCUGGACAACUAAAUUGAUGAUAUGUGCCAUACAUCUCAUAUGCAAGUAAGUAGAGUUAGCAACACUAACACCACAAUUAGCAAGCUUCUUUUUCAAAUAAGAUAUGGCCACAUCAUUAGAACUAUCAUUAUCAACUGUAAUAGUGAACAUUUUAUCUAACCCUCACUCUAACAAGCAAGUCUCAAUUGCUCUACCUACUGCUUCACCUUUAUGACUUGAAAUGGGACAAAAGCUAAUGAUUCUCUUAUGCAACUUUCAAUCAUUGUCAAUAAAGUGAGCAGUUAUGCACAUGUAAUUAAUGCGUUGCAAUGAUGUCCAUGUAUUUGUAGUAAGACUCACUUUUUGAUAAUUUUUCUUAAAAAAUACCUCAGUUUUGAUCUCUCCUCAAUAAACAAAUCAUAACAAUCACGUGAAAUUGUCCAACGAGAGGGAAUCCUAAACCUUGGACAAAUUGCUCUCAUGAAGCUUCUAAAACCUUCUUCUUCUACAAAUCUAAAAGGCAAUUCAACAAUGAUUAUCAUAUGGACAAGGGCCUUCCUAAUUGCAUUUUCAUCAUACUUCCAAGUAGUAAGAGUGCCUAAAUCAUUCACAUCAUUGUCACUUGCAUUUUUUUGCAAUGAUAAUUGUGCUUGUCUAGUCUCAAUGGAAUGUGAGUGCUUUUUGCAUGAAUUAAGGGGAUUUCUAAGUGUCGUGGUUCCGUUUCUCUUUGGAUCACAACAAAAUUUCUUUUUACAAUAAUUACACUUACCUUUUAAUUCACCUUCACUAUUGAUGAAUUUUUUAAAGUGAUCCCAAACUAUAGACCUUGGCUUUACUGGUUUUCUCUUUGCUUUUGAUGAUGUGGUUAUUUUUGUUGAAGCAUUAGUACUACUUGAUUCAAAUCACUAGUACUAUUUUGAAACAUUUGAUCAUUUUGUGACUCCAUGAUUCACCUAAAAAGUAACAACAAUAUUCAAUUGGACAUAAGCUUAAUUAAUAACAAUAUAAAAAAACAGAAUUGGAAAUAAUAUUUUUUUCUUACAAAUAAUACAUACUAAACAUACAAGUUUUAUAGCAAUUAUUGUCUAAGUUAAUUUUGCUAACUGCGCCUCUAUAUUAGUGAAUGAAAGUGACUAAACAGUCUGAAAUAAUAUAUACAACUUCUAAAGAAAUUGCACUUAUAGUACCUUGUUUGAAACAAUCCCCAAGGCAUGUGCAAUGUGCACUGUUAAUAUUCUCUACCACAACAAUUCCAAUCUAAAAUCUAAAUACUUGAGGAGUAGAAACUUAUCAAGUUCUCUAACAUUCUUGUUGAACUUUAGUUCUUUAUAGAGUUUAUGACAUUCAAGUCUAAUUCAAAUACACACAACACGAAAGGGUGGAGGAACAUUAAUUCCCCUUUGUUUUAAUGGCAUUUAGGUUUGGUGCUUUGAUUUCAUCUAAUAUCUCAGCAAUGAGCAAAAGUAUUAAAUAUCAAAGUUACCAAACUGACUUUAAGAGAUCAAUUAGAUGGGAAAGAAAAAUUCAAACCUCCUCUAGCAAAGGGCCUAACUGACCUCUCUAGCGUAAUGAUGAAUGCCAAAAGCCCUCCCUCUUUCAGCUUUAAAGAAAGGACUACUGCUCAAGUACUGCUUAAGCUUAUUGGCAAGAGUCAAAACAGUGACAUUGGGGAAAUUUAAUUCCUCAUCCAACAAAGAUAAUAACCCGAAAGGUUUCUAUAUAAAUCACACAAUGGAUGGGAUGAGUGACCAUUUUAAGCAUAAACCAAUAAACCUAAAGAAAUAGAUAAAUGCAACAGCUGAUAUCAUCCAAUAAAAAAAAUCAUACACUUGCUGAAUAUAUCAUACAAUAUGGUACCACAAACCAAAAGUAUACUAAUAUUAAUCUGCCAUAUAUUGAUAAUCAUAUGUAAAGCAACCAAAAUGAAGAACCCAAACAACUUAUAACACAAAGCUGCACAUAAACACUACAGAAAAGGUACAUCCAUGAUCCAUUAAAAUACCUUCUCAAAGAGUUCAAUCACCAACCACUGAAGUUGCUAAACCCCUACAGAAAAAGCUUAAAAUUUAUACAUUGAACCUAAUUUUACAACACCACACAAGAAUAAAUAAAUAAAAAAAAACAGAAACUUCACAUUUAAAAUGAGGACAGACCUACCUCAAAUUAAUAAGCCAACAGAAGAGAUCACUAAAAGAGGACAGACAGUCGACGGUCGGUGGCGAAACUCAGCAAAUCAAUAGGGAGGGAGGGAAAGAGAUCGAUAGGGAGCGAUUCGUGACUUUGUUCAGCAGAUCGACGGGAAAGAGGACACUGAAAGAGGACAGACAGUUGACGGUCAGCGACGACACUCAGGAAAUCAACGGGGAAAGAAUUUGAUGGUCAACGGUCGACGAGAAAGAGAUUGAAGAUCGACGUGAAAGAGAAAGAGAUUAAUGGGAUUUGAUGAUUGAUUUGUUAGGGAUUCAACUAUGAGAGUGUGGAAAGGCCAGGGGGAGGAAUCGGGAGAAUAGGGGUUCGAGGAGGGAGAAUCAGGAGAUUGGAGAAUGUAGAGAACGUCUGGGGCCGAAAGGGAUGGAGGGGGUUGGGGUGCUAGGUUGGGUACGAGAGGUUAGGGGGAGGGCUCGGGCAUGGGCUUGGGCCUAGCCACUAAAUCGGUUUUUUCAGUUUGAUCGGUUAUUUAACAUGUUUAAACCGAACUGAAUUGAAAAUCGAAUAAUUUUAAAUAUAUUAACCGAACUAAACCGACCAUUCCGACUAAUCGAAUCGAUAAACUGAAAUCAACCGAUUUGGUUUGGUUUUUCAGUUUAAACCGAAAUAUGCUCUCCCCUAAACUCACUUAAAGAGUUUAUAUGACAACAUCAUUUGGUUUCAUUAUCGGGAUCCAAAGUGUUCUUCUCAUUUGGAAAAUUUGGCUUAUCUAAAUACUCCUUUCACUUCUUUAUUUCUCCUUAUUGCCUCUAAUGGCUAAUAUUUCACGAGCUGUUGCCAAAUUAGUUGUAAACAAGGGAGAUGUUGUUCCUAUCCUACUAGGAAGUUGCCAAAUUAGUUGCAAAUUAGUUGCAUUCGUAGCCAAAAAAGAUCGAUACAAAGCGGGUUACUACUAGGCGAGUGCUCGGAUAUUAGUUCCUAAAAGAUGUUCUAAGGCAUCCGAUUGCUAAAAGAGGAAGGUCACUACCAAGCAAGCAUUUGAGUGUCAAUCUCUAAUAAAUUUUCUAAGGAAUUUUAUUUUUUUUUUUUAGGAAAAAUAUCGCCAUGAGGUAGGUCACCACAGUUAGGUGAGUCCCUGAAACUAACAAAUAUUCCAAAGGCAUUUGUUGCAAAAAAAAAAACCACCACGAAGUGGACCACCACCAACUGAGUUUAUAGGUGUUAGUCCUUAAUGUUUUAAGUCAUUUAUAGUCACAAGGCGGGUUACUACUAUGUAAGUCUUUGGAUACAAUCCUUAUAGAAAAUCCUCUAAAGUAUUUGAUGCCAGGAAAUAUUUACAAGGCAGGUCGCUGUCAAGCGAGUCUUUGGAUGUCAAACUCCAAAAAAUAUACUAAAGUAUUAGAUGCUAAAUAUAGUGUACCAUACGUAAGUUAGAGGUGGUGAAAUUUUGAAGUCACUAAAGAACUAAGCUAGUUAUGUAGAAAGAUUACUAGGAGAUCAACCUACAGUAAGUAUUGAAUAGAAAUAGAAUUGUAAAAUCAUACUAUAAUAAAUCACGUUUUAAACUUUACAAAAUCACUGAGUAGGAGGGUUCUCAUUUGCCUCCUCACGAGUCUUUACAGUUACAUUAUCAUCUAAAUUAAUGCAGGGUCUUGAGUGUUGGCCGAGCUAGCAGGGUUAUUACCACCCUCUCCCUCCACCACUUCUUCCUCUUCUUCCUCAUCCUUUGGAAGGAUAUCAUCUAUCUAGAAAAAAUCAUCGAUAGGAAAGUGACUAUGCGGUUGUCGAAACCGGUCAAAAAUAACCUUUUUGGUUAUCAACAAUUUUACAACUGUAGAUAGUGGCAAAAGGAUCGAAUCCACAGAGAAUUAAUACUUACUUAUUUUCCUAAUCAAGACCUAGUAAAUAAAUAGGCAAUAAAAGUAAAUUGGGGGGGUUUUGAAGAUUGAUGACUAAAUUAGCAACAAAGUAAAGUAAAUAAUAAAAUAAAGGAAAUUCAAUAAUGAGAGAGGCCUAGUUAAAGAGUUGGAUCCACUUUAGUUGUUGGGAUUGAUAAUUGAUACUUAUAUUCUUUUAUUUGACUCAAUAAAUUAGUUAUGAAGGUGAAAGACACUUCUCACCUUCAUAUCACUCCUUAAGUAUAGAUUAAUUAGGGAACGUCCUCUAAUUAAUCACUAAUCAAUAAGUUGCUAAGGAACGUCCUUGGGCCUUUGGCAUCUAACAACUGCUAAUUGCAUUAAGUGAUAGAGAGACCUAAUUCUAGCUACCCAAACGUAUGGUGAUAUUGCUAGAUCAUGCAAUUUACUUAGUUUUUACACCAAGUGUUACUUGUGUUUGAAUAAUUCAAGCAAUUACAGACUUAAACUAUCCAAACUAACGAAUUAUUACUUUGUAAUCAAGAAUCAAUGGGCCCUAUUGAUCUAAACAACAAAGCAACAAUGAAAUUAAGCAUGAAAUUGCAUGAAUAAUGAUAAAUAAAAGAUAAACAUAAUAUGUACAGAUCUCGGGCAAGUCUUGUUUGCCCGGGUUGUUUGGGCAAACAGCUUGGGCAAACAGUCUGUCUUCCCUGUUAUUUGUGCAUUGCUUCUGACCUGCUGGUCUGUUUGCCUAGUCUGUUUGGGCAAACAGUCUGGUCAAACAACAUAUUAUUCUUCUCCCAUUUCAGCUUCAACUUGGUUUGGGCAAACGGACUUAGGCAAACCAGCUAGUUCUCUUUUGUCAUCUUUUGGGCAUAUUUAGGGUCAUUUUUACCAAAUUACCCUUUUACAUCAUUUAUGCAAAAUAAGAUCAAAACCACAAAAUUAGAUAGAAAAUGUAUAAAUUAACAUAAAUAACAACAUGAAAAAUGAGUUUAAAUUUGGCUCAAUCAGAAAGCGCAUGACCAGCUCCUUCUUUACAACAUCCUACACCAUUACAUACAAGCUCCCUCCACAGGCCUUUUUCUCUUUCAGCUUGUUUUAUAACUCGGACAAUCUGUCUACAAUAGCCUGGUUCUCCAUGGCUUGAGCUUCGAGCAGUUAGAUUUGUUUCUUUAACUUUGCAACUUGGUCUUUAAUGGCUUUGGCUCUAGCCUCAAGACUUUCCUUCUCAGAAUUUGCUUGGUCUAAGUCUACUUAGAGCUUAUCUAUUGACUCUAGAGUCUCCUUCGUUAUCUCCACCACCUCCUUGACUCGAGUCUUCAACCUAUAGGACUCCUCCAAAUGAAGGUUUUCUCCCCUUCUACAACCCUAAAAUUUCUUCUGAAGGCUUUAUCCCAUUCUUUGGCAAGGUAGGAUGACAAAACGCUCUCCCUAGCAAUAUAGAUCGCGUUGUCAUAAAGCUCAUCAGUCUUAAGCGCCUUAGUCGAUGGCAAUUUCCAAUGUACAUUGCGUUCUUUAUAAUGAAUAGGGAAAGUUGGGGCUCUUUGAGCAAAGACUCCAUCUAGGUUAAGGCAUAGACUUGGAUAUUCUGGGGCCAUAGGGAACUUGUUUCAGCUUUCGUCUGGGUGGAUGCAGGAAAACGUAGGGGGGAAGAUGGAAAGGUGAUCCUGCAAACCUUGUCCUUAGGUAUCAAGAUUGAAUGCACGGGGCAUCAUAGGCUAUAGGUUCAUGAGUUAUGGGAGCCACAUGAUUUAUGGGCGACGCAAUGGAUAUCUCUUGGCGACAAGGGCGUUUUGCCACUUGGGCUUCACACCUCAAGGCAGCUACUUUUCCUUUCCUAGCAGUUAGUGCAGCCUCGACCUGUUUGCCCUUAUGAGCCAUAUAUGCACAAAAAAAUGAGUUAUAUUAAGGAUAAAGUUUCAGGUAUGGUACCUUAUUCUGAUGGUUGAGGUGGAAUAGUCCUAAGAAACUCAAAAUCUAUCUCAUCUUGAUUUGGUUGAUCUGAUGUCAACUGCAAUUAUUUAAUUUAUUAAUUCAUAAAAAAAAUUCAAUUUUUAACCCAUAAUUAAAUAAUCCCCCAAAAAAAAUUAAUUCUACUCACAUAAAAUGCCACAACUGUUCCUGCUGAAUGUCCUGCAACUAGUUUGAUUUGCAUAUCAAUCUGACCGAACAAGAACAUCUGGUUCGAUGCAAAUCCGGAUCCUAUAGAGCAUAUUAAUUCUCACAGAUAUUGCAGAAAAGAAAAUAAAAUUAUAUAGCGCGCGUAAAUUUAUUAAUUUUUAUACAUACCAGAUUCUUGGUCAAGUUUCAAGCUUCUUGUCCUACCAUCAACAGAAGUGUUUACAUGGCUAGGAGACCAUGUUACAAAGAAAUCUUGAUUGAAAUUUCCUGGAAACAACAGAAGAGAAUGAAAUUUGUAAUAAAUUGGCUAAAAUAAUUUCAAUUAAGAGUAUGAAUUUGAAAAUGUUUGACAUGAUUUUUGGUGAAUUUUGGCUUGAUGGGGUGACAAGGAAAUGGCUGAUAUGCUAUAUAUACGCAUUGCAUGAGAUGAUUUUCUCAAGAAAGAAUAUCUUUAGAGAGAAGCAAAGGAAUAUCAAGCUGUUAGCAUAUUAUAUACAUAUAUAUUAAUUAAUUAUGGUUUCACUAAACAUUAGUCUGGUGGUAAGUGCAUCUGAGUAAAUUUGAGAGAUCUCAGAUUCUACUCCUGCAAUUUCUAUUUAAAAAAAAAAAAUUAUGGUUUCACUCAGUUAUGUUUUAAAAAAUAUCUUAUUUUUUAUAAUUAUUUUUCUAAAUCAUAAUUAAUUUGCACAUAAUAAUUAAUUAGAGAAUGUUUGAUGAUCAUAAAAGUCUUGUAAGCCAAGCUAUGAAUAUGUGUGUGAUGCAGGCUUUCUCAAUGAGAGACCUUUUUGGUGUGGCAAUUGCAGAAAGUUUAAGAAAGUUGGAAACAAACUUAAGAUCAGUUGGCUACUUUUAGGGGAAAGCAUUUCUCGGUCUAAACCGAAAAUCGAACUGAAACGGUUGAUUUCAAUUUAUCAGUUCGGUUAGUCGGGACGGUCGGUUUGGUUCGAUUAAUAUAUUUAAAAUUAUUCGGUUUUCAGUUCGGUUCGAUUCAAACAUGUUAAAUAACCGAUCAAACUGAAAUAACCGAUUUAGUGGCUAGGUCGAACCCAAGUCCAAGCCCUCCCCCUCUCUUACUUAACCCAGCACCCCAAGCUCUCCAUCCAUUUGGACCCCAGGCAUUCUCCUCCCCAUUCCUGAUCCCCCCAACCCGAAAACCUGAACAAGGUCAUGAACCGUUCACUCCUUAUCGAUCUCUUUCCCUCCCUCCCUAUUGAUUUGCUGAGUGUCACCGCCCGUCGAUCUGCUGAACGAAGUCACGAACCACUCGCUCCCCAUCGAUCUCUUUCCCUCCCUCCCUAUUGAUUUGCUGUGUCCCUAUUGAUUUGCUGAGUGUCGUCACCUGUCGAUCUGCUGAAUAAAGUCACGAACCGCUCCCCACCCAUCGAUCUCUUUUCCUCCCUUCCUAUUGAUUUGAUGAGUGUCGUCGCCGAUCGUCGACUGUCUAUCCUCUUUUAUUGAGGUAUGACUUUUGUUUUAUUGCUAAACAAUGAAUCUACUUAUUGGGUUCUUGCAUUGUAUAGCGUUUACUGUGGAGCUUUGGUUAGGUUUUGUUUGUUGUAUAAGAUCAAUUGUUUAUGGAUUUUGAAUCUUGUUGAAGAAUUGGGUUUAUUUAUUGAUUUUGUAUUUUGUUGAAGAAUUGGAUUUAUUUAUUGAUAAAUUUAUGUGAAAUAUGUAUUGAAUUAUUUGUUGAAAUUAUAAAUAGAAAAUUAAAAAAAAAAUGCAGAUUUCGAUUUGAACCGAACCAAACCAAACCGAACUGAUUUUUAUCGGUUUAAUUCGGUUUGAUUAUAUAUUCAUAAUCGAUUUUUUCGGUUUUUAAAAUUUUAACGCUUCGGUUUCGGUUUUUUCGAUUCGGUUCGGUUCGGAACCGAACCUACCGAUUGCACAACACUAGCUACUUUGUUUUCUUUAUUGUGCAUUUCUUUUUAGCGUUGUUGUUUCAAACUUCUCUUUCUCUUUGUAUUCUUUCAAAUAUUGCAUUUUAUUCUUUUCCUCCUCCUUUAGGAUUAUUAGGUUGGAAAAUUAUUGCAUCUACUCAUUUAUUUAUUCUCCAUAAUUUAAGAAAAAAAAUUAAAAUAUUUAUUAUACACCCAUCUAAUAGAAUUUUAUUAUCAUAAUUUUAAUUAAAAAAAUUAUUAUUUGAUUUUUGUGCUAGCGAAGAAAACUCGUUAAUUAAUAUUUUGAUUUUAAAAAAUAUAAUAAAAUAAUAUUAUAAAUUUUAAAAAAAUUUAUAACUUUUUAAUAUAUUUUUUAAAAUCGAGAAAUUAAUUAUUAUAAUUUAAUUUGUAAGAAAAAAAAAAUUAUUAUUAUUAUUAUUAUUAGUUCACUAAGACAAUAGUGGAGUAUCUUUGACACUAAUCCUUGAAAAGUAAAGAAUCAUUUUGAGGAUAAGAUUUAUUAACAUUAAUUAGUGGAUGCUUAAUCAAGUAAAAAGUGGAAAAGCUAUAAUAUUAUAAUUACUGUGUAAGUAAGCCUUUUUUUUAUUUUCUUAAUUUGAUGCAAACAUGUAAUUUUAGAGCAAUUAAAGAUUUAAUUAAAAGAAAAAGAAUACAAACAAUGACAAAAUUAAUUAUUUUUUUAAAAAAUAUUUAUAUAUAUAUCUUUUCCCUUAAUUUAUGAUCAUAAUAUAUAAAAAUAUGAAAGAAAAGUUUAUGGUAGUUAUCGGUAUUCGGUUUAAAAACAAUGCUGGAAUUAAAUUAAUUUAAAAUUCAGUUUAAUUUUUAUUUUUAAAAAUUUUGAUAUUUUAAUUUAAUUUUAAUAAAAAAAAUUAAUAUUUCAUCGAAUUAAUUAGUGAUAAUAGUAUAUUAUUUUUUAUAAUAUAGAGAUUAUUUUAAUUAAAGUUUAAAAUAUUAAAAAUAAAUAAAGUAUAGAAAAUAAAAAAAUUUAUUAAAAAAUUAAACCGAUCAAAUUGAAUCAGAUUGAUUUGAUUCAAAUCAAUUUCUGUUUAAAAUCAAUUUAAUUUGAUUUUUGUAUAUAUUAAAAUUUAAUUUUUAAUUUAUUUAAUACGAUUCGAUUUUAAAUCGAAUCAAUCGAAUAUCCACACUAGAUUCAUCGUUGAUGAUUUCAGUUUUCAAGUUCUAAUUUGGGUUAGUUAGAGUUAAUUAUAUUUAAAAAUAAAAUUAUUAUAUAAAAUACAUAUUUUUUAUUAUUAUCAUUAUACGAAUUUCAUCAAUAUAAAAGGGUUUUUAAAACUAUGUUAUAGGAAUUUUUUUUAUUAACAUAAAUAAAAAUAUAUUUGUUGCACAUGAGGGAUCAAUUUAUCCACCAUAUUGUUUAGAAAGGCUUAUUUAAUGUGAAAAAUUAAAAUUUUAUAUUUAAAGAAAAUUAUAAUCAAAAUUUUUAAUUUUAGAUUAAAAUCUUAAUUUUUAAAUUUAUUAUAAUAUAGUAAUUUUUAAGAUAAUUCAUUCAAUUGAAUAUAAAAUUUAAAAAUUUAUGUUUAAUUACUAUUAUAAUUAAAAUUUUUAAUAUUAUAUUAAUUUUUUAUAAUUAUUAAUCCUUAAAAUAAUUGUUAUUAUAUUUAAAUAUAGUGCACAUGUCAUGUUAUUUAUUUUUUUAAAAAUAUUAAUUAAACGUAAAAUUUAGACUUUGUAUAUAUAUUCAUCCCUCUUAAUUUAAACAUUUAUGUUGCUAAUUGAUAAUUUCUAUAAAAAUAUUAAUAUGCUAAUUAAUAAAGAGAUUAACAUUAUAAUCAAUGGUUAUUUUCUAUUAAGGAUCCGUUUAUUUAUAAAAAAUAAUUUAUAUUUAGAAAAUAUUUUUUAUAAAAAAUAUUUUUCAACUAAAUAACUUAUUUUCUUAAAUAAUUUUAAUUUAAAAAAUAAAAUUUAUUAAUAAAUGUAUAUAUUAAGAUUUUAAUAAAAAUUUAAAAAUAUGAAAAAUAAUUUUAUUUUUUUAAAAGUAAAAUGCCUUAUUUAAAAUGACUUAAAGAAAAUAAUUUUUCUUAAAAUGAAAUUUAAGAACAGAAAGUGUGAUUUCAAAUUACGAAAGCAUUAUGAACACAAUUUGAAAAUAAGGAUUAUAAAAACACAUAUGAAUUAAAAAAAAAAAAAAAAAACUAGAAUACUAUAUUGAAGGGUGAAUCUCUAAGUGUUUUAAAAUUACGCAUCGUUGAUAAUUUUAGUAAAGAUUUUAAAAGUAAAUACCGAGUCAUACGAAGAAUAAAUAAGUAAGAUUUUCUCCCUCAACUUCCAAAUCUUAACAUCAAGAGAAGUAUAAAAGAUUCAGAACUCUGUAUGUUUAUUCAUACAGAUAAAACAAAAAGAAAAAAAAGUAAAAUCCAUAGUUGAGUUUACAAGAUGAAGAAAUUUGGGCUUCUCAUCUGUUGUAUUUCACUUAUGAUUAUAUUUUCCUUAUUUUCUGUUUCAAAUGCUCAAGAGAAAGAGAAAGAAGCUGAGGCCUCUGCUCCUGGCGGAGAGGCGUCUGCUCCCGGUCCCGGCGGAGAAGCCUCUGCUCCCAGCGGUAAAGAAGCCUCUGCUCCUGACGGUAAAGAAGCUGAGAAAAAAAAGAAAAAGUAGAUAUUUUAAAGAUUUUUGCAUGCGAUCACUGUAUGCGGCGAGAAAUAAGUUAAAAGAAAGAUUUAAUUAGUAGAUUUUUAAAUAAGUAAAGUUUUGAUAUUUACAAUAUUUUUAUAUGUAACUGUUUCAGCGAGAAUUAAGUUAAAAAGAAAGUUAAUUGUUGGACUUCCAAAUAAAUAAAAGAAUCUGAAUCUCUAUCUUAAAAGAGCCUUGAAACAAGUUAUACUGUUAUAAAAUUUAUUUUUACAAUGCUCAUCAAAUUUUUUUUUAGAAUUAAACAUAUUUAUAUUAUGAUUUUUUUAUUAAAAAUUACAAUUAAAAAUUUUUCAGGAUAUAUAAAAUUAGUAAAAUAAGGAAUAUUUAGUAUAACAAAUUUAAGGUCUUAAUUUAUCUUCAUAUAAUAAAAUUAAAAAAUAAUAAUANNNNNNNNNNNNNNNNNNNNNNNNNNNNNNNNNNNNNNNNNNNNNNNNNNNNNNNNNNNNNNNNNNNNNNNNNNNNNNNNNNNNNNNNNNNNNNNNNNNNNNNNNNNNNNNNNNNNNNNNNNNNNNNNNNNNNNNNNNNNNNNNNNNNNNNNNNNNNNNNNNNNNNNNNNNNNNNNNNNNNNNNNNNNNNNNNNNNNNNNNNNNNNNNNNNNNNNNNNNNNNNNNNNNNNNNNNNNNNNNNNNNNNNNNNNNNNNNNNNNNNNNNNNNNNNNNNNNNNNNNNNNNNNNNNNNNNNNNNNNNNNNNNNNNNNNNNNNNNNNNNNNNNNNNNNNNNNNNNNNNNNNNNNNNNNNNNNNNNNNNNNNNNNNNNNNNNNNNNNNNNNNNNNNNNNNNNNNNNNNNNNNNNNNNNNNNNNNNNNNNNNNNNNNNNNNNNNNNNNNNNNNNNNNNNNNNNNNNNNNNNNNNNNNNNNNNNNNNNNNNNNNNNNNNNNNNNNNNNNNNNNNNNNNNNNNNNNNNNNNNNNNNNNNNNNNNNNNNNNNNNNNNNNNNNNNNNNNNNNNNNNNNNNNNNNNNNNNNNNNNNNNNNNNNNNNNNNNNNNNNNNNNNNNNNNNNNNNNNNNNNNNNNNNNNNNNNNGGUCUGAUAACUGGUGGAGCUAGCGGAAUUGGUGCGGCCACUGCGAGGCUGUUUCUCAAACAUGGAGCCAAGGUCAUUGUUGCAGAUGUUCAAGAUGAUCUUGGUCACUCUCUUUGCCAAGAACUGGGCUCAGAAGAAAUUAUCACUUAUGCCCAUUGCGAUGUAACUCGUGAUUCUCAAGUCCAUAACGCUGUAGAUUUAGCCGUCUCCAAGUAUGGAAAACUUGAUAUUAUGUAUAGCAAUGCUGGACUUCCAGCCAAUAUGGAUGGAAUCCUAAGCUCAGACAACGAAGAAUUCAAAAGGGUGCUCGAUGUCAAUGUGUUUGGUGGUUUCUUGGCAGCCAAACACGCUGCUAGAGUCAUGAUUCCUGCCAAGAAAGGUUCUAUUAUCUUCACUGCAAGUAAUCUUUCAGUGACUUGCUUUCAGUGUGCGCAUGCAUACAUUGCUUCAAAACAUGCUGUGGUUGGUUUGGCUAAGAAUCUUUGUGUGGAAUUGGGCCAAUAUGGGAUCAGAGUUAACUGUGUCUCGCCAUAUGCAGUUGUAACCCCAUUGCUAAAGAGUGGUUUAGGGUUAACGGGGAUGGAGAAUGAGAAGAUUCAGGAAGCGGUUUCGGCUGCCGGGAACUUGAAGCAGGCUGUGUUGAAAGCAGAAGAUAUAGCAGAGGCUGCUUUGUAUUUGGGAAGUGAUGAGUCUAAGUAUGUGAGUGGGCUGAAUCUGGUGGUUGAUGGAGGUUAUAAUCUCACCAAUCCCUCCAUUGAAAUGGCAAUCAAAAGAUUACAUUCUUCUUAGGCAGUGAUGUGUAAUCAGGAGUAUCCCUCCAUUGAUGGAAGUUAUGGUAUUGGGUUGAUGGUGUCGUUUAAUUAUGGUGUCUUGUCUUUAUUGCUGUAUGCAUGUCUCUCAUGGUUUCUACUUUCUAAGCAUGUUCUGUUCGGUUUUGUUGUUUAUGGCUGGCUUUGAUCAGUUUCGUCUUUAUGCUUUCUUGUUUGAUUGGGAUAUAGAUUGUCCCUGUACUUCUUGUUUGUUGUUUAUGUCUGGUUUUCUUCAAUUUCACCCAUGUGCUUUCUUGUUUGAUUGUCCCGUAUCUUCUCGGAUUUUUUCACUUGCCAACAAUUCUUAUCU